RNAcentral lists this ribosomal RNA (220 nucleotides) under uncultured bacterium. Its description in RNAcentral is "partial 16S ribosomal RNA". It matches the Rfam family "Bacterial small subunit ribosomal RNA", at positions 111 to 334 of the family's 1533-position model. The record is from RNAcentral.
UAAUGUAUGGGGAUCUGCCUGAUGGCGGGGGAUAACUACUGGAAACGGUAGCUAAUACCGCAUAAUGUCUACGGACCAAAGCAGGGGACCUCCGGGCCUCGCGCCAUCAGAUGAACCCAUAUGGGAUUAGCUAGUAGGUGAGGUAACGGCUUACCUAGGCGACGAUCCCUAGCUGGUCUGAGAGGAUGAUCAGCCACACUGGGACUGAGACACGGCCCAG